UCGCCCCUUAGAGUUUGAUCCUGGCUCAGAGCGAACGCUGGCGGCAGGCUUAACACAUGCAGUCGAACGGGCACUUCGGUGCUAGUGGCAGACGGGUGACUAACACGUGGGAACGUACCUUUCGGUUCGGAAUAAUUCAGGGAAACUUGGACUAAUACCGGAUAAGCCCUUCGGGGGAAAGAUUCAUCGCCGAUAGAUCGGCCCGCGUCUGAUUAGCUAGUUGGUGAGGUAAUGGCUCACCAAGGCGACGAUCAGUAGCUGGUCUGAGAGGAUGAUCAGCCACAUUGGGACUGAGACACGGCCCAAACUCCUACGGGAGGCAGCAGUGGGGAAUAUUGGACAAUGGGCGAAAGCCUGAUCCAGCCAUGCCGCGUGUGUGAUGAAGGCCUUAGGGUUGUAAAGCACUUUUGUCCGGGAAGAUAAUGACUGUACCGGAAGAAUAAGCCCCGGCUAACUUCGUGCCAGCAGCCGCGGUAAUACGAAGGGGGCUAGCGUUGCUCGGAAUCACUGGGCGUAAAGGGCGCGUAGGCGGACUCUUAAGUCGGGAGUGAAAGCCCAGGGCUCAACCCUGGAAUUGCCUUCGAUACUGAGAGUCUUGAGUUCGGAAGAGGUUGGUGGAACUGCGAGUGUAGAGGUGAAAUUCGUAGAUAUUCGCAAGAACACCAGUGGCGAAGGCGGCCAACUGGUCCGAUACUGACGCUGAGGCGCGAAAGCGUGGGGAGCAAACAGGAUUAGAUACCCUGGUAGUCCACGCCGUAAACGAUGAAUGCCAGCCGUUGGGAUGCAUGCAUCUCAGUGGCGCAUCUAACGCUUUAAGCAUUCCGGCCUGGGGAGUACGGUCGCAAGAUUAAAACUCAAAGGAAUUGACGGGGGGCCGCACAAGCGGUGGAGCUGUGGUUUAAUUCGAAGCAACGCGCAGAACCUUACCAGCCUUUGACAUGUCCGGGUUGGAGGACAGAGAUGUACCUCUUCAGUUUAGGCUGGCCGGAACACAGGUGCUGCAUGGCUGUGUCAGCUCGUGUCGUGAGAUGUUGGGGUAAGUCCCGCAACAGAGCAACCCUCGCCCCUAGUUGCCAUCAUUCAGUUGGGAACUCUAGGGGGACUGCCGGUGAUAAGCCGCGAGAAGGUGGGGAUGACGUCAAGUCCUCAUGGCCUUACAGGCUGGGCUACACACGUGCUACAAUGGCGGUGACAAUGGGCAGCGAAAGAGCGAUCAGGAGCUAAUCCCAAAAAGCCGUCUCAGUUCAGCUUCCAAUAGGCAACUCGAGUCCAUGAAGGUGGAAUCGCUAGUAUUUUUUUUCACCAUGCCACGGUGAAUACGUUCCCGGGCCUUGUACACACCG
Molecule: ribosomal RNA, 1343 nt
Filed under: Allobosea sp. LC290
Lineage: Bacteria; Pseudomonadati; Pseudomonadota; Alphaproteobacteria; Hyphomicrobiales; Alloboseaceae
Description: Bosea sp. LC290 16S ribosomal RNA
Rfam family: Bacterial small subunit ribosomal RNA
Source: RNAcentral